This 424-nucleotide long non-coding RNA is filed under the name Homo sapiens (human). RNAcentral's name for it is "HSALNT0265616". The record is from RNAcentral. Lineage: Eukaryota; Metazoa; Chordata; Mammalia; Primates; Hominidae.
UCAUGACAAGAAAUUCAGAGGUGGGAAAGCCAGGGCUGCUGCAGCUGCUUUCGGCUGCAUUUCUUCUUUUGGUCCUCCGCACCAGCGAGCAUGUGGCUUGCAUCCUCGUGCCUACAGCAUGGCUGCUGUGCCUACAGGCCUCACACAGAAGUCCCGCUCACCAAGGAAGCAUUUUUAAUCCUUUUUAAAAAGUUGAAGUAAGAUUUAUAUGCAGAGAAAGCAAUGAAUGAGUUCCUGCUGCUCUACAACCUUGCCAACAUUUGGAAUUGUCAGUGUUCUGGAUUUUAGCCAUUCUAUUAGGUUAUAACAGGGUUCAAGAUGUGUACUUUCAUGGAAAAUGAUGUUUCCAUCUUUUCAAUGGUUGUUUGGCUCAAAGGGGUGGAUCAAGAACAAGGAACAUUAAUUGGUAGAGAGAAAGAAAAAA